UACGAAGGGGGCUAGCGUUGUUCGGAAUUACUGGGCGUAAAGCGUAGGUAGGUGGUUUUCUAAGUCAGGGGUGAAAUCCCAGAGCUUAACUCUGGAAUUGCCUUUGAAACUGGAUGACUAGAGGAAGUUAGAGGCAAGUGGAAUUCCUAGUGUAGGAGUGAAAUCCGUAGAUAUUAGGAGGAACAUCAAUGGCGAAGGCAGCUUGCUGGGACUUUUCUGACACUGAGCUACGAAAGCGUGGGGAGCAAACAGG
This 253-nucleotide ribosomal RNA is filed under the name uncultured bacterium. RNAcentral describes it as "partial 16S ribosomal RNA". It matches the Rfam family "Bacterial small subunit ribosomal RNA", at positions 524 to 776 of the family's 1533-position model. The record is from RNAcentral.